GACGAACGCUGGCGGCGUGCUUAACACAUGCAAGUCGAACGGAAAGGCCCUGCUUUUGUGGGGUGCUCGAGUGGCGAACGGGUGAGUAACACGUGAGUAACCUGCCCUUGACUUUGGGAUAACUUCAGGAAACUGGGGCUAAUACCGGAUAGGAGCUCCUGCUGCAUGGUGGGGGUUGGAAAGUUUCGGCGGUUGGGGAUGGACUCGCGGCUUAUCAGCUUGUUGGUGGGGUAGUGGCUUACCAAGGCUUUGACGGGUAGCCGGCCUGAGAGGGUGACCGGCCACAUUGGGACUGGGGAACGGCCCAGAGUCCUACGGGAGGCAGCAGUGGGGAAUAGUGCACAAUGGGCGGAAGCCUGAUGCAGCAACGCCGCGUGGGGGAUGACGGCCUUCGGGUUGUAACCGCUUUCGCCUGUGACGAAGCGUGAGUGACGGUAAUGGGUAAAGAAGCACCGGCUAACUACGUG
This 467-nucleotide ribosomal RNA is filed under the name uncultured bacterium. RNAcentral describes it as "partial 16S ribosomal RNA". It matches the Rfam family "Bacterial small subunit ribosomal RNA", at positions 28 to 507 of the family's 1533-position model. The record is from RNAcentral.